AAACCAUUCUUCAUUUUGUCACUGGAAGCAUUUGACUCUUAAGUGCAGUUCUUGGAAGUUCUCUGUAAUUGGUGAUGCUGGAAUUUCUCAUUCCAGUUGAUUAAACAGAAACUUGGAAGGUUUUUUUUAACAAAAGAGCUUUGUUUCAGAUGCAGCCCGUUCUGAACUAGUUGAAGUUGCUGUUUCUUUUUGGCUGCAGUCUACUGACUGACUUUCCUCUCUGUGCAGGGUAUCUCAUGAUUUAGUGUCUUUUUGAUCAGGGGGGCCCAGAUCUGGAAAAUGUGCCUGUUAACCUGACUGGAGCCAGGUAGAUGAAUAGGGGCUACAUAAACGAAACUUGUGGAAUCCAGCCUGCAUUUGCACUGCGGGGGCUGCUGUCAUGUUACAGUGCCCACCCUGAUUGGCCCCUGAUUGGACAUGGCUUUGCCGGCAGAAGAAAUGUUUUGUUGCUUGACCCACAGCAGCUCCUAUGAAUGACAGAAUCACUGCUGCAGGACCUGCUUUCUACUGGCAAAGCUGUCUACACCACAGGUUUGACCAGCUGCACCACCUUAUCUACAGAGUGUGGUCAUUAUAUGGCCUUUGCCAUACUGGCAGUCUUGUCAUGUAGGCUAUGUUGUGAACCAAAGAAGGAAGCAGACAUGUGGGUGCUACAUAUUAUUAUUGGAAGAUGAGCGCUGCAGACAUGGAUUUGAGAACACAGUUCCAGCUCUUUUGGGUUUGCCAGGUGAUGGAGACCAAAGCCCUGAAGUAAGUGGGGAAGCAGAAGACUUGAAGGAAGAGCAAGCAGGAUAUGGCAACAGAGAAGGUGUUCUCAUACUUCCUGAGAAAUCAGGGCAAUCAACUAAUUACCUCAGGUACCUGUACACAAAUGCACGGAGCCUGGGAAACAAGCAGGAAGAACUGGAAGUCCUUGUACAGUCAUGGGACUAUGAUGUGAUUGGAAUAACAGAGACUUGGUGGGAGCUCGCAUGACUGGGGCACUGUCAUGGAUAGGUGCAAACUGUUCAGAAAGAACAGGCAGGGCAGAGGAGGAGGAGGAAUUGCACUUUAUGUAAUUGUCAGCCUCACCUCAGUCCCUGGAAAAAUCAUGGAGCAGAUCCUCAGGGAAUCCAGUUCUAAGCACUUGGAGGAGAAAAAGGUGAUUAGGAACAGUCAGCAUGGAUUCACCAGGAGCAAGUCAUGCCUGACCAACCUGAUUGCCUUCUAUGAUGAGAUGACUGGCUCUGUGGAUGUGGGAAGACCAGUGGAUAUGGUGUACCUUGAUUUUAGCAACACUUUUUAUACAGUCUCUCAUGACAUUCUCGCAGGCAAGUUAAGGAAGUACGGGCUGGUUGAAUGGACUGUAAGGUGGAUAGAAAACUGGCUGGAGCAUCAGGCUCAGAGAGUAGUACUUAGGACACUUAGAGCACUUAGGACAGAAUGGUCCCAUGCACCAGUACAGGCUGGGGGCUUACCAGCUGGGCAGCAGCUCUGAAGAAAAGGACUUGGAUGUUACAGUGGACAAUAAGCUGAAUGUGAGCUAGCAGUAUGCCCUUGUUGCCAAGAAGGCUAACAGCAUACUGGGCAGCAUUGGUAGGUGUGUUGCCAGUUGGUCCAGGGAAGUGGUUACUCCUCUAUUCAGCGCUGGUGAGGCCGUAUCUAAAGUACUGUGUCCAGUUUUGCACACCACCCCCUCCUCCUACAGAAAGGAUGUGGACAAAUUGGAAAGAGUCCAGCAGAAGGCAACAAAAAUGGUUCAGGGGCUGGGGCACAUGACUUCUGAGGAGAGGCAGAGGGAACUGGUCUUAUUUAAUCUAGAGAAGAGAAGACUGAGGGGGGAUUUAAUCGCAGCCUUCAACUGCCUGAAGGGAGGUUCAGGAGAGGAUGGAGCUAGACUGUUCUCAGUGGUGAAAGAUGACAGAACAAGAAGGGAUGGUCUCAAGUUGCAGCAAGGGACAUUUAGGUUAGAUAAUAGGAAGAAUUUUCUCACUAGGACAGUAGUAAAACCCUGGAACAGGUUACCCAGAGAGGUGUUGGACUCUCCAUCCUUGGAGGUUUUUAAGAGCCAGCUAGACAAAGGCUGGGAUGAUCUAGCUGGGGCUGGUCCUGCUUUGAGCAGGGGGUUGGACUAGAUGACCCUACUUUUCUAUGAUUUUAUGAUUCUAUGGUUACCCUUUAUAACAAGAGGCCAAGUGGUUCUGUGAACUGGUAAAGUGGCUCUUCACCUCUGUGCCUGGUUUCUAAUCUAGGUUGCCCUGUGAGUUUAGCAAUCAAAGGUCCAUAGCUAUUAGCAUGCAGUUUGUACUGCCCUCUCACACAACUGGCAUGAGUAGUGAUCUUUCCUCAGGGGAGACUGAAACUGGAAUAGCAAAAAAAUGUGCAGUUAAGGGCACAGCUGAUACCACAAGAGGAAACUUGCCGAGUUCUGUGUCCAGCUCUGUCUAGUUAAGAGUUGUAAAGCUCUACCUUCCAUCAUCAUCAAUAAAAAAUGUCUCUGAAUUGAUGCAUACAUUUUUGCUUAGAGAGCCAAUGCUCUUAUGCUAAUAGGAUGGAAGGUUAGAUAAAAGCUGAAACCUAUUCUAGCUUUGAAUUUCUUUGCCUGUUACUGAAAGCUGGAAUGUUAGGCCGUCUGCGAGGUUCUGAACAAAAUGAUUCUGGGCAACAAAGGCAGCAUUAUGGAGCUUAGCACCUCUGAUUUUACAGAUCUACAUUAAAAUUUCAAUCUGCACAAAAAAGAAUUCAGGGACCUGGGAGUGCAGUGCUUACAUGGUUGCCAUGUAAAUGAACUGCAGGCUGCAAGUACGCUAAUGCCAUUGCAGAGUCUUCAGCAAAAGUAGGUUAACAGAAUAAAGAAAAGGAAAUCUGCUCCUUGGGCUCAGUUGUCUUCUGGGCUUGUACAAGUGAAGGGACUCUGAUGCUAGUUGUAUGGCUGAUGUUGCCUCGUGCAGUGUUCCUCUUCAGGCUAGAAUACAUUCAAGGUGUAGGAUUAAGCUUUGGAUGGAAAAGGGAAUUUGUGACCUUCCCUCCUUUUCUAGUAUCCUGUUCAUGUCCCCCUCAGUGUUUAAUGCACUGGCCCACCUUGUUCUCUCCUUUAUUAUACAUGGUUGUACCUCUGCCUUCAGGAUAGAUGGAGGUAUGAAACUGAGCUCUUCUAAUUUAUAUAUGGUGAGAUUAGACCAGGUCAUCACACCUGGGGUGAUAAAGUGCUGAUAAACCAGCCAACCACUUGAUUUUCCAGAGAAUGUUUGGAGAGAGUUUCUGUUCUUCCCGAGAUGCAGUGACCUCUGAUGAGAAUAUUGCUGUCCCACUGUAGCCCCUUUUGACUUGAAGAGUCAAGUGACAAAUCCAUCUUUGUGGAUGUGCACUGGAUAUUUUACAGCAAUACCUGGCAAAUAUUGAACAGGAGUAUAAACAUCAGGAAUAGAGGUGGGAAGGACCUUAGUAUCAGGGUGGGCAGGAGGCAGGACCACCAGAAGGGAAUGGUUUGUGGUAUUUGCACCAGAGAUGGGAGGAAAGAAUACGCAGAAAAUGUGCAGGUGCUGUAUUGCAUCAAGGAGGGGUGUCCAAAUGGACUGGGGAAAGCAACUCAGAGUUGGGGAGGAGUGGGAGGACAUGUUUGCCACCAAUGGAGAUUGUACUCUGGAGCACUGUUGCUUGUUACUUUCCAGAGUGCACAUACAUAUCAUGAAAGCUCCGGGCAGGAACAGUGGAGUACCAGCACCCUCAGGAUGCAGUCAUUUUAGCUUCUGGAUUCUACCUUCACACUGAUAUUUUAAUUUUGGAUAGAACUGCCUGCAAAUUAUUGGUAUUUGUGUCUUAAAUGCAGCUGAAUAAAACUUUUGGACCAUCCAUAGUGGAAGCCAUCAUGUGAGUGCUUCUGGCUAGGGACAGAAGUUACACAUAAACUCAUUUAAGUGAUAAGAAACUGGUUUAAACCUGUAACAGAACAGAAGUUCAGUGCACAUAAACCAGCUUCAAAAUGGCUGAAACUAGUUUAUGAUAAACCUGGUUGACUGUAGUAUCAGACUUAACUGAUUUGGGUCAAACCGGUUUAUGGAACUUCUGUCCCAGACCCCUUCCUGGUUUA
This is a long non-coding RNA of Alligator mississippiensis (American alligator), 4069 nucleotides long. RefSeq lists it as uncharacterized. The transcript is spliced from 4 exons. NCBI's taxonomy places the organism in Eukaryota, Metazoa, Chordata, Crocodylia, Alligatoridae. The record is from RefSeq and is a predicted model, not a curated record.